UCGUCGAUGCCAUCCACGGUGUUGACGACUUCUUCAAUCUGCUGCGUUACCAGGGAUUCAACUUCUUCGGGCGAGCCGCCCGGCAGACUUGUGCGCACGCUUACGGUGGGAAGAUCGACCGAGGGAAAACGGUCGACUCCGAGUUUGAAGAAGCUGGCGCUGCCUACAACGACCAGCGACAGAACGAUCAUCGCCGCGAAAACGGGGCGACUAAUACAAAUCUCGGCUAGUUUUU
RNAcentral lists this unclassified non-coding RNA (235 nucleotides) under uncultured fungus. RNAcentral describes it as "sequence contains ITS1". Lineage: Eukaryota; Fungi. The record is from RNAcentral.